CAAGGGCGAACUGAACCGGGCAUGGAAGGCAAUUCUAUCAAGUAAAGCUAGUUGUCAGUCAGGGUUGAGACAGUAAGGUCGUUCAGGCUUGCUUGAGAAGGUAAGGCCUGAUAAGGCUUGCUUGAGAAGGUAAGGCCUGAUAAGGCUUGCUUGGGAAGGUAAGGCCUGAUAAGGGGCUUUAGAAAGUAAAGUCGGGAAGGCCUCGUUCAAGUUCUAUUCUCUACAUGAGCUUCGGGUAACCAAAUAUGAACUGGUACCAUGGGUGACGGCGAAAGAGGCAUGUUUAACCGAUAGCACUGGACUUGCUUAUGACAGUUAAAACUACCUUGGGCUUUAUACCAAAAGUAUCAAAAAAAAAUUGUAAAGAUUUUCGUUUGAAACAGUUGAAGUUGAAAAAGGCUUUACUUGCUUACUCGAAUUAGUCUUACUUACUAUUUUCAAUUCAUAUAAUAGAAUGCGCUAUUGGGAUAACAAUAGGAUAGAACAUGAAAGUCUUGCUUGUACUGAUCUUUUUU
This 515-nucleotide long non-coding RNA is filed under the name Ricinus communis (castor bean). RNAcentral describes it as "long non-coding RNA (RCOM_LNC001878)". Lineage: Eukaryota; Viridiplantae; Streptophyta; Magnoliopsida; Malpighiales; Euphorbiaceae. The record is from RNAcentral.